Molecule: long non-coding RNA, 265 nt
Filed under: Mytilus galloprovincialis (Mediterranean mussel)
Lineage: Eukaryota; Metazoa; Mollusca; Bivalvia; Mytilida; Mytilidae
Source: RNAcentral
CCUGAGUAUACACACCAAACGUUUUCCCUUCAAAUGCUAGAAAAUUUAAAGUUCGCUUUUUUAUAUUUUUAUCAAAUUUAUUUUUGAGUUUCCGCAAAUCAGUACAUAACGCACGUACACCAUCAGACUGCUUGUUAAUGAGAGAAAAAGUUUAUGAUUGGCCAAUCCCUAACCAUAAAUAAUCAAUCGAUGAUGUACUAAUGAUGUGGUUGUAAAAUAUAAAAAACUUCAUGUUAUAGCAAUACGUUUAAAUUAUCCAUAGUUG